GGAAGCAGCUUGCUGCUUUGCUGACGAGUGGCGGACGGGUGAGUAAUGUCUGGGAAACUGCCUGAUGGAGGGGGAUAACUACUGGAAACGGUAGCUAAUACCGCAUAACGUCGCAAGACCAAAGAGGGGGACCUUCGGGCCUCUUGCCAUCGGAUGUGCCCAGAUGGGAUUAGCUAGUAGGUGGGGUAACGGCUCACCUAGGCGACGAUCCCUAGCUGGUCUGAGAGGAUGACCAGCCACACUGGAACUGAGACACGGUCCAGACUCCUACGGGAGGCAGCAGUGGGAAUAUUGCACAAUGGGCGCAAGCCUGAUGCAGCCAUGCCGCGUGUAUGAAGAAGGCCUUCGGGUUGUAAAGUACUUUCAGCGGGGAGGAAGGUGUUGAGGUUAAUAACCUCAGCAAUUGACGUUACCCGCAGAAGAAGCACCGGCUAACUCCGUGCCAGCAGCCGCGGUAAUACGGAGGGUGCAAGCGUUAAUCGGAAUUACUGGGCGUAAAGCGCACGCAGGCGGUCUGUCAAGUCGGAUGUGAAAUCCCCGGGCUCAACCUGGGAACUGCAUUCGAAACUGGCAGGCUAGAGUCUUGUAGAGGGGGGUAGAAUUCCAGGUGUAGCGGUGAAAUGCGUAGAGAUCUGGAGGAAUACCGGUGGCGAAGGCGGCCCCCUGGACAAAGACUGACGCUCA
This 684-nucleotide ribosomal RNA is filed under the name uncultured Enterobacter sp. RNAcentral's name for it is "bacterial SSU rRNA". It matches the Rfam family "Bacterial small subunit ribosomal RNA", at positions 71 to 749 of the family's 1533-position model. Lineage: Bacteria; Pseudomonadati; Pseudomonadota; Gammaproteobacteria; Enterobacterales; Enterobacteriaceae. The record is from RNAcentral.